This is a long non-coding RNA of Halichondria panicea, 2879 nucleotides long. RefSeq lists it as uncharacterized. The record is from RefSeq and is a predicted model, not a curated record. The transcript is spliced from 5 exons. NCBI's taxonomy places the organism in Eukaryota, Metazoa, Porifera, Demospongiae, Suberitida, Halichondriidae.
ACCAUCUUAGGAAGAUGACUCAGAGGACCAGAGCUGCAAGAGUUAUAGACUGGAUAUCAACAAAAAUGGUUUCAUUUCACGUGAAGACUACGAAAUCAUGAGCAAAAGAUUGACAGAAUACAGCAAUGUAACUGAAGAGCAAGCUAAAAAGAAUCCAUGCAUGAUUUUAUUCUAGUCGUAGCUGACAACAUAAAACUCACUGGUGAUACAAAGUUUCCGAAUUUGCUAUUAGUCAAGCUAUUCUUAAAGAGACAGAUGAUAAGUGAUAUCACCCACUCACCCCAUGCAGGCAUGCAGGCAUGUACUGUAUUUACAACACAUGCAGUAGUACAAUCCUUAGAUAAAGUUAUAAGGCAACCAGUUAUAAUCUUGAAAGGAGUUGUGUGAGAAGGAGUGUCCUAUAAUGAGCAAUACCAAAAGUUAACAGGUAUCCAUUAUGCUGGCAUAAUAGGCUAGAAGUACAAGCCAAUACGAAUUAUAGUAUAAAUAUUUGUAGGCCUGAUGGUCGUGCAUGUGAUGGAAGUGCUGAUGGUAUUACCUCCUUGGAAUUUUGCAUGCAUGAAAUGCUAACUGCAGUGGAAUGUAAUAGAUCUAUAGUACUUACAGUCAGCACCUGUGUUUACCAGGCUGCAUAAUUAUGUGUGACUCAAAGAACAAAGAGCAAGAGCUAUGGAGGUUACGGCUAAACUGGGCAUUCAUUAUCUUCAUGGCUCCCAUGUAUUCAACCAGUCUGUAUGGUAUUACUUCAUCCUUUCAUCAGUUUGUAACCAACCCAACUGAAGUUGAAAUUCUGUCACAAAACAACACUAAACAGAAGGUAUUGUCUAGCUAGUCUCGAAUGAAGGAAUCCAUCGUAAAGCAGCUUCGAGUGAAACUUUAAAUUGUGUUGUAUUAUAUAAUACCGCUUGAAUAAUACACUGUAUGCAUCUCAAUGCAGAUUGAGCCAGGCCUCGGAGAAUCUGAAUUAUUUUACUCCUUGUUAAUUUCAGGUACCAAUGUUGGUACUAUCAUUGGUGGGCUAGUGUGUGGAUUUCUUAUGAGGAUCGUUCCCUACUGGUAUUUGUGGGCAGUAUCACUAGUGGCACACACAAUUAGCUAUGUUAUGUACUGUGUUGUACAUCAAGGUUGGCUGAUGAUGAUUUCCAGGCUUCUUGCUGGGUAUUUCGCAGGUGCUACUCUUACACUCGGCUUCAGCUACUUCACUGACACCAGUGUUUUGUAUGUUGAAGAACUAAACAGAAUGAGAACUGGUGCCAAAACAGAAUCAGAGCGAGUUAGAAACUAUCUGUUUGCUACUUUUAGUGUUUCAAUGAACUUGGGAUUCAUUUUAGGACCAGGUUUGACAGUAAUUGUGGCACAGUUUGAGUCAGUGGAUCAGUUCAGGGCAAUUGGAUGGUUCAACGUUGCCUACGGUGUAGUUGUUUUGUGUGUAUUUGUGAUAUUGUUUCGGGGAGAAAUGAGUUUCAAAACUGACAGAUUGAGUUAUUGUCAAGUUAAGAAAAAGGAUUCUAACUGUCGAAUGCGGAAUAUGAGUCUACUGUCACUUUUCAUAUCCUUUCGAAUACAUUAUUAUCUUAAAGAGCAUGAUUGUAUACCUCAUUAUAUGCCUUAACUACGUCUAUACAUAAUAAUUUCAUUUAUUUUCUUGUUUCUAAUGGAAAGGAUCCGAAUGGCCUUUAUUGUAACUGUAUUCAAUCCCAUUGCCAGUGAUUCGUUUGGAAUUGAUGAGAAUAGUGCCUCGUACUUCGUCUUCGCUCUGUGUAUUCCUCAACUGGGAGGAUCAGUUUCAUUACUUGUUUUCCAAAGACUAAAGAUGUCUAGCCAGAUGAUUGUCCUGACAGGCAUCAUUACUACAAUGUGUGGAUAUUUAAUUGUGACUGAUUGGCAGACGAUUCCCUACGAUCCGUGCACAGAGUACAGUCCCUUUCAUCAUCCUGAAAUUGUCCAAUAUUAUGAAAAUAACACAAUCAUUGUAGGCAAGUUUCAAAAGAAUAUUGAAUCACAUGUUGAUUUCACUUUGCCCAAGCUGAAGAGUCAAGCUUUUGCCCAACAUUAACCUCAUAUUUGCUGAUGGUGCAUCUUUUGAGGCGGACUUAAGGAUUAAUCUCAGUUGUAGUCAUGUUUACAAUUGUACGUGUGCUCUAAAGAAUCCUACUUGUUUGUAUUUCAAAAUAAAUGAAAAUCUAAACACCGAGGAUCUAUAUUAUUACGACUGUAGUUCUGACUUCAACCUGAGAUCACCAAUCACAGCAUGUAUUACUCUAUCAAGACAUCAAACAGUACUGGCAGGUAAUAAAGCAACGACAUCUGUAGAUGAACAUGAAUCUGAAAUUGAAAGUAUCACUGUACUGCCAAAAAGAGUAUACUUCAUAGCCCGAAACACUUGCAUUGAGGCGAAUGUGACUGGUCACCAGUGUCACUGGAUACCCUCGUCCACAAUCACCAAGAAGGAGUGUAAAGACUGUCAGCCCAUCUGUAGGAGCGUGAGCCAGACACUCACUUUUGCUCAGUUUCUGGUUGGCAAUGGACUGUUGGUUUACACCAGUGCACUCCAGUAUGCUCCGAUCAUAUCAUUACUCAUGAACCAAACACCAAAAAACAAAUCCAGGGAAUUGUGAUUGGAUCCAUGACAGCUUUGGGCGGUGUAUCAUCAAGUGUGUUUCCUCUACUGAUCGAUGCUGUGUACGAAGAGAUGAAGAAAAGAGUGUUUUUGCUAACCAUACUUUUUGCUCUAGCACACAUUCCGUUUAUCCUUGAGAUUAUUGCACUCUACCCAAAACUGGGACCAAGAACUACGGACAACACAGACAUUGAAUACAGCAAAUUGAAUAAUUAGAACAUGUCGAUUGAUAAUAAUUAUUAUGCUAUAAUUAUACUCU